Zingiber officinale is the source of this 613-nucleotide long non-coding RNA. RefSeq lists it as uncharacterized. The transcript has 4 exons. The record is from RefSeq and is a predicted model, not a curated record. NCBI's taxonomy places the organism in Eukaryota, Viridiplantae, Streptophyta, Magnoliopsida, Zingiberales, Zingiberaceae.
CGUCCCCGCACCCUUCUUUCUUCUCCCCGACGCCGCGCACCUUCUCCUUCGGUGCCCUAACCGCCGGCCACGGCGGUUCCUCCCCUUUAUCUUCUCCUCUUCUCGGUGAAAGCCGAUCGCCACCUCAGCCGACGACCACAAACGCCGGUGCCUUAGCUUUUGCCCCGACGCCAGCGACGCCGGCCUUCUCCUUCCCGACGCUAUCUCCCCCUGCCCUAACUGCUCGAGGCAGUUCUUCUCUUCUCCUCUCCUCUGCCGCCACCACAGAGCCGACGCCGACCAUAGAGCCGACGCCGACCACAGAGGCCGAAGCUUUCCUCAGCCCUAGCAGUUGAGCCUUUGCCGAUCUCCUUUGUGUCGGCCUCCUCCACUGUGCUGUGCCCUAGAUCGCUGGAAUUCAGAGCCACCUCCUACAGUGAAGUCUCGGCAGAGGAAGCAACAGGCAGUCAUCUUCUAGUGGCGGACAACCCAAUUCAGCCACAAGUCUUGAUCUAGCAGCAACAAGCAGCAAAACAACCCUUCUUCGGUAGGAACUAUCUGGCUGUGAGUUUGAGGACUGUGACGCGAGACGAGUAUCUCGGAGUCGGACUGGACCUUUCUAUUUUAUUGGAGG